Molecule: ribosomal RNA, 509 nt
Filed under: uncultured bacterium
Lineage: Bacteria
Description: bacterial SSU rRNA
Rfam family: Bacterial small subunit ribosomal RNA
Source: RNAcentral
CGAACGCUGGCGGCGUGCUUAACACAUGCAAGUCGAACGCGAAAGGGACUUCGGUCCUGAGUAAAGUGGCGCACGGGUGAGUAACGCGUAGAUAACCUGUCUUCAUGUCUGGAAUAAUACGCCGAAAGGGGUACUAAUACCGGAUAUUCUUGCUUUUCAUAAGUUAUGCAAGCAAAGGUGGCCUCUGCAUAUGCUACUGCAUGAAGAGGGGUCUGCGUACCAUUAGCUAGUAGGUGGGGUAAUGGCCUACCUAGGCGACGAUGGUUAGCGGGUCUGAGAGGAUGAUCCGCCACACUGGCACUGGAACACGGGCCAGACUCCUACGGGAGGCAGCAGUGAGGAAUAUUGCGCAAUGGGGGAAACCCUGACGCAGCGACGCCGCGUGAGUGAAGGAAGGCCUUCGGGUCGUAAAGCUCUGUCAAGAGGAAAGAAGUGUACAAUGGCUAAUACCUGUUGUAUUUGACGGUACCUCUAAAGGAAGCACCGGCUAACUCCGUGCCAGCCGCUGC